This 213-nucleotide unclassified non-coding RNA is filed under the name Hevea brasiliensis (rubber tree). The record is from RNAcentral. Lineage: Eukaryota; Viridiplantae; Streptophyta; Magnoliopsida; Malpighiales; Euphorbiaceae.
AGAAAAUUGAAGCAGCUAGGGAAAUUAGGAAAUUGGUGAGGAAAUCUUCCUUUUCCGGUAAGACUCGUUCAAGGUUUGCCGCCGCCGGCGUUAUUCCGCCGUUGGUUGAUAUGCUUCAGCCUUGUUCUUAUUCUCUACUUGCUCGUGAAGCUGCUUUAUUAGCUCUCCUUAAUCUUGCCUCUCGUAAUGAAAGAAACAAAAUAAGGAUCGUUG